CGACACUUUCCCUGCCGUUUGUUCUGAGGCUGGAUCCCAACUGAGAUGUCAGGGCCACUUGCUUCCCCCUGCCCACACACACACGCAUCCUCACACAUCUCACACGCGCACCUUCGCACAUCUCACACACACACUCACACAUCUCACACCCACACCCUCACACAUCUCACAUGUGCACUCACUUCUCACACGUGCACUCAUAUCUCACAUGCACACCCACACACCUCACACGCACACCCUCACACAUCUCACACAUGCAUCCUCACACCUCAUAUGCACACCCACACACCUCACAUGUGCACUCACACCUCACAUGCACACCCUCACACAUCUCAUGUGCACACACCUCACACACGCACUCACAUCUCCCACAUGCACACACACAUCUUGCAGUGCACUCACACACAUCUCACAUGCACACCCUCACACAUCUCACGUGCACACACAUCUCACACACGCACUCACAUCUCACACCUGCACUCACACAUCUCACACCCACACACAUGUGCACACACAUCUCACACAUGCACUCACACAUCUCACACGUGCACACACAUCUCACACAUGCACUCACAA
RNAcentral lists this long non-coding RNA (576 nucleotides) under Homo sapiens (human). RNAcentral's name for it is "non-protein coding lnc-ZCCHC24-1:2". The record is from RNAcentral. Lineage: Eukaryota; Metazoa; Chordata; Mammalia; Primates; Hominidae.